AGGGAGCCUGAGAAACGGCUACCACAUCCAAGGUAG
This 36-nucleotide ribosomal RNA is filed under the name Pelobates cultripes (western spadefoot toad). Its description in RNAcentral is "SSU_rRNA_eukarya". Lineage: Eukaryota; Metazoa; Chordata; Amphibia; Anura; Pelobatidae. The record is from RNAcentral.